Molecule: non-coding RNA, 2830 nt
Organism: Drosophila virilis
Lineage: Eukaryota; Metazoa; Arthropoda; Insecta; Diptera; Drosophilidae
Source: RefSeq, a predicted model, not a curated record
CUAAGCUACUGGGUUCAUACCCCAUUUAUAAAGGUUUUAAUCCUUUUCUUUUUAAUUUUUAAUAAUUCUUCAAAAAUUUUAUUUAUUACAAUAAUAAUUAUUGGAACAUUAAUUACAGUAACCUCUAAUUCUUGGUUAGGAGCAUGAAUAGGUUUAGAAAUUAAUUUGUUAUCUUUUAUUCCCCUAAUAAGAGAUAAUAAUAAUUUUAAAUCAACAGAAGCUUCUUUAAAAUAUUUUUUAACCCAAGCUUUAGCUUCAACUGUUUUACUGUUUUCAGUGAUUUUAUUAAUGUUAAAUAAUAGAAUAACAAUUGAAAUUAAUAACUCAUUUACUUCAAUAAUUAUUUUAUCAACUUUAUUGUUAAAAAGAGGAGCCGCCCCUUUUCAUUUUUGAUUCCCCAAUUUAAUAGAAGGAUUAACUUGAAUAAAUGCUCUUCUUUUAAUAACAUGGCAAAAAAUUGCUCCUUUAAUAUUAAUUUCUUAUUUAAAUUUAAAAAAUUUAUUACUUAUUAGAGUAAUUCUUUCAGUAAUUAUUGGAGCAAUUGGAGGUUUAAACCAAACUUCUUUACGAAAACUUAUAGCUUUUUCUUCUAUUAAUCAUUUAGGUUGAAUACUAAGAGCGUUAAUAAUUAAUGAAUCAGUUUGAAUAAUUUAUUUUUUAUUUUAUUCUUUUUUAUCAUUUAUUUUAACUUUUAUAUUUAAUAUUUUCAAAUUAUUUCAUUUAAACCAAUUAUUUUCAUGAUUUAUACAAAGAAAAGUUAUAAAAUUUACUUUAUUUAUAAAUUUUUUAUCUUUAGGUGGAUUACCUCCAUUUUUAGGAUUUUUACCAAAAUGAAUUGUAAUUCAACAAUUAACUUUUUGUAACCAAUAUUUUCAAUUAAUAAUUUUAUUAAUAUCAACUUUAAUCACAUUAUUUUUUUAUUUACGAAUUUGUUAUUCAGCAUUUAUGCUAAAUUAUUACGAAAAUAACUGAGUUAUUAGCACCCAAAUCAAUAAUUUUAGUAUAAAACUAUACUUGAUUUGUACAUUUUUGUCAAUUUUUGGAUUAUUUAUAAUUUCAAUAUUUUAUUCUAUAUUUUAGGUUAAAGGCUUUAAGUUAAAUGAAACUCAUAGCCUUCAAAGCUGUAAAUAUAGGAAAUCCUUUAAGCCUUAGUAAUUUAUUACUCCUUCAAAAUUGCAGUUUGAUGUCAUUAUUGACUAUAAGACCGAUUUAUAAUUUUACUAAUCAAUUGAUUAAGAAGAAAAUUUCUUAUAAAUAGAUUUACAAUCUAUCGCCUAACUUCAGCCACUUAAUCGCGACAAUGAUUAUUUUCAACAAAUCAUAAAGAUAUUGGAACAUUAUAUUUUAUUUUCGGUGCUUGAGCAGGAAUAGUUGGAACAUCUUUAAGAAUUUUAAUUCGAGCUGAAUUAGGACAUCCAGGAGCUUUAAUUGGUGAUGACCAAAUUUAUAAUGUAAUUGUUACAGCUCAUGCUUUUAUUAUGAUUUUUUUUAUAGUUAUACCAAUUAUAAUUGGAGGAUUUGGAAAUUGACUUGUACCUUUAAUAUUAGGAGCUCCUGAUAUAGCUUUCCCACGAAUAAAUAAUAUAAGAUUUUGACUUUUACCCCCCGCUUUAUCAUUAUUAUUAGUUAGAAGAAUAGUUGAAAACGGAGCUGGAACAGGGUGAACAGUUUACCCUCCAUUAUCAGCAGGAAUUGCUCAUGGAGGAGCUUCUGUAGAUUUAGCUAUUUUCUCUUUACAUUUAGCAGGAAUUUCUUCAAUUUUAGGAGCUGUAAAUUUUAUUACAACAGUAAUUAAUAUACGAUCUUCAGGAAUUACUUUAGACCGUAUACCUUUAUUUGUUUGAUCCGUUGUAAUUACAGCUCUUUUACUUCUUUUAUCUCUUCCUGUUUUAGCAGGAGCUAUUACAAUAUUAUUAACAGACCGAAAUCUUAAUACUUCAUUCUUUGACCCAGCUGGUGGAGGGGAUCCAAUUUUAUACCAACAUUUAUUUUGAUUUUUUGGUCAUCCAGAAGUUUAUAUUUUAAUUUUACCAGGAUUUGGAAUAAUUUCUCAUAUUAUUAGUCAAGAAUCAGGUAAAAAGGAAACUUUUGGAUCUUUAGGGAUAAUUUAUGCAAUAUUAGCUAUUGGAUUAUUAGGAUUUAUUGUAUGAGCCCACCAUAUAUUCACAGUUGGGAUAGACGUAGAUACACGAGCUUAUUUUACAUCAGCAACUAUAAUUAUUGCUGUGCCUACAGGUAUUAAAAUUUUUAGUUGACUUGCUACACUUCACGGAACACAACUUUCCUAUUCACCAGCCAUUUUAUGAGCUUUAGGAUUUGUAUUUUUAUUCACAGUUGGAGGAUUAACCGGAGUUGUUUUAGCAAAUUCAUCUGUUGACAUUAUUUUACAUGACACAUACUAUGUAGUUGCUCAUUUUCAUUAUGUAUUAUCAAUAGGGGCAGUAUUCGCAAUUAUAGCUGGAUUUGUACAUUGAUACCCUUUAUUUACAGGAUUAACUAUAAAUAAUAAGUGAUUAAAAAGUCAAUUUAUUAUUAUAUUUAUUGGAGUAAAUUUAACAUUUUUCCCUCAACAUUUCUUAGGUUUAGCGGGAAUGCCACGUCGAUAUUCUGAUUAUCCAGAUGCUUAUACUACAUGAAAUGUAAUUUCAACUAUUGGAUCAUCAAUUUCUUUAUUGGGAAUUUUAUUUUUUUUCUAUAUUAUUUGAGAAAGUUUAGUGUCCCAACGUCAAGUUAUUUACCCAAUUCAACUAAAUUCUUCAAUUGAAUGAUACCAAAAUACUCCUCCUGCUGAACAUAGCUAUUCUGAAUUACCUUUAUUAACUAAUUAAUU